This 70-nucleotide transfer RNA is filed under the name Ictidomys tridecemlineatus (thirteen-lined ground squirrel). RNAcentral's name for it is "Spermophilus tridecemlineatus (thirteen-lined ground squirrel) tRNA". It matches the Rfam family "tRNA". From Rfam's summary of the family: Transfer RNA (tRNA) molecules are approximately 80 nucleotides in length. The record is from Rfam by way of RNAcentral. Lineage: Eukaryota; Metazoa; Chordata; Mammalia; Rodentia; Sciuridae.
GGGGCUAUAGCUCAGUUGGUAGAGUGCCUGCUUUGCAUGCACAAGGCCCUGGGUUCGACUCCCAGCACCA